This 846-nucleotide ribosomal RNA is filed under the name Tsukamurella pulmonis. Its description in RNAcentral is "bacterial LSU rRNA". It matches the Rfam family "Bacterial large subunit ribosomal RNA", at positions 2083 to 2925 of the family's 2925-position model. The record is from RNAcentral. Lineage: Bacteria; Bacillati; Actinomycetota; Actinomycetes; Mycobacteriales; Tsukamurellaceae.
AAAAGACCCCGGGACCUUCACUAUAGCUUGGUAUUGGUGUUCGGUUCGGUUUGUGUAGGAUAGGUGGGAGACUGUGAAGCGGGCACGCCAGUGUUCGUGGAGUCGUUGUUGAAAUACCACUCUGAUCGUAUUGGAUACCUCAACCUCGGACCAUGAUCUGGUUCAGGGACAGUGCCUGGUGGGUAGUUUAACUGGGGCGGUUGCCUCCCAAAAUGUAACGGAGGCGCCCAAAGGUUCCCUCAGCCUGGUUGGCAAUCAGGUGUUGAGUGCAAGUGCACAAGGGAGCUUGACUGUGAGACUGACAGGUCGAGCAGGGACGAAAGUCGGGACUAGUGAUCCGGCACCGGCAAGUGGAAGCGGUGUCGCUCAACGGAUAAAAGGUACCCCGGGGAUAACAGGCUGAUCUUCCCCAAGAGUCCAUAUCGACGGGAUGGUUUGGCACCUCGAUGUCGGCUCGUCGCAUCCUGGGGCUGGAGUAGGUCCCAAGGGUUGGGCUGUUCGCCCAUUAAAGCGGCACGCGAGCUGGGUUUAGAACGUCGUGAGACAGUUCGGUCUCUAUCCGCCGCGCGCGUUAGAAUCUUGAGGAAGGCUGUCCCUAGUACGAGAGGACCGGGACGGACGAACCUCUGGUGUGCCAGUUGUUCCACCAGGAGCACGGCUGGUUGGCUACGUUCGGAAGGGAUAACCGCUGAAAGCAUCUAAGCGGGAAGCCUGUUCCAAGAUUAGGAUUCUCACCACCUUGAGUGGGUAAGACCCCCUACAGACUAUGGGGUUGAUAGGCCAGAACUGGAAGCGCAGUAAUGCGUGUAGGUGACUGGUACUAAUCGGUCGAGGGCUUACCACACA